UACAGAGGUCUCAAGCGUUGUUCGGAUUCAUUGGGCGUAAAGGGCGCGUAGGCGGCCGUUUGCGUCGGAUGUGAAAGCCCGGGGCUCAACCUCGGAACGGCAUUCGAUACGGGACGGCUGGAGACCGGGAGAGGAGAGUGGAAUAGCCAGUGUAGAGGUGAAAUUCGUAGAUAUUGGCUGGAACACCGGUGGCGAAAGCGGCUCUCUGGCCCGGUUCUGACGCUGAGGCGCGAAAGCGUGGGGAGCAAACAGG
This 253-nucleotide ribosomal RNA is filed under the name uncultured bacterium. Its description in RNAcentral is "partial 16S ribosomal RNA". It matches the Rfam family "Bacterial small subunit ribosomal RNA", at positions 524 to 776 of the family's 1533-position model. The record is from RNAcentral.